AACUGUGCUCUGUCCGGACUGAGAUGGCUUUAAACGGGUGAUGGCCUCAUGAAUGGAUGCCUCCUUACCACUGACCAGUGGGUGACAAAUGGCCCAUAUCCCCAUCAGGCUCAGGGCACACCACAAUUCACCUGAGGAGUCAGACGCCGGGGAGCCAGCUCCCAUUCCUGGCGAGAGGUGUCAGCCCCGACUGGUGCAGAGUGCGAGGAGCUGGCAGGUGAGGCCCUGCGGGUGCUCGGGGAUGGGUCCAGCCCUGCAGCAGCCUGGACCUGGCUGCAUGUCACCAACAGCGGUGUUCAUCACCUGAGCAAAAGGGUGAGAACAAGAAGCCUGCCCAGGCUCCCUGUGCCCAGCCUUGCAGAGCUGGGUUAAGAGCUUCCAGCUCGCUGCCUGGACGGAGCAGAAGUGGCUGGGAGAUACGGAGCCAAGCAGAGACUCGAUCCAGUCUGCGGCUGCUCCGUGCCUGAUAAGGGCGCUGCUAGUGCCGUCUUGCAGUGCUCUCGACCUGCCAGUGCUCCACAAAUGAGACGUCCUGGUGAAGCGCCCCCCACCCCUUGGCUCCCUCUGAUCCCCUCUGAAGCUGAGCGGAGCCUGGAAUGUCUCCUGGGAUGUGAUUCCCUCUAGCCUAAGGGGGACUGCGUUAAUAAACCCAGGUUGAGCGGUGGAGGCGAGGGAGGAGGAGGCAGGGCUGGUGAGAUGAGCCUCACAAACAAGUCGCAGGUCUGAUGGAAAUGUCCCGUCCUGUCCUCUCACCCUCCCCCUGUCCCUGGAGCUGAGCUGUGGAAUUCAGGGU
RNAcentral lists this long non-coding RNA (793 nucleotides) under Melopsittacus undulatus (budgerigar). Its description in RNAcentral is "lncRNA (ENSMUNG00000021945.1)". Lineage: Eukaryota; Metazoa; Chordata; Aves; Psittaciformes; Psittaculidae. The record is from RNAcentral.